GACGAACGCUGGCGGCGUGCUUAACACAUGCAAGUCGAACGGAAAGGCCCUGCGCUUGUGGGGUGCUCGAGUGGCGAACGGGGGAGUAACACGUGAGUAACCUGCCCUUGACUUUGGGAUAACUUCAGGAAACUGGGGCGAAUACCGGAUAGGAGCUCCUGCUGCAUGGGGGGGGUGGGAAAGUUUCGGCGGUUGGGGAUGGACUGGCGGCUUAUCAGCUUGUUGGUGGGGUAGUGGCGUACAAAGGCUUUGACGGGUAGCCGGCCUGAGAGGGUGACCGGCCACAUUGGGACUGAGAUGCGGCCCAGACUCCUACGGGAGGCAGCAGUGGGGAAUAUUGCACAAUGGGCGGAAGCCUGAUGCAGCAACUCCGCGUGCGGGAUGACGGCCUUCGGGUUGUAACCCGCUUUCGCCUGUGACGAAGCGUGAGUGACGGUAAUGGGUAAAGAAGCACCGGCUAACUACGUG
Molecule: ribosomal RNA, 468 nt
Filed under: uncultured bacterium
Lineage: Bacteria
Description: partial 16S ribosomal RNA
Rfam family: Bacterial small subunit ribosomal RNA
Source: RNAcentral